CACCCAGGCCACCUUCCCAUAAUCAAGAUCUUAUUUUAUUCAGACUCCACACAGCUUUCUCUUCAGAAUGCCAGGGUUCUUUGUGGUGGAAAACUGUCACUGAAAUAGAGCAAGUGUCCUGGACUAUGUGCCUCUGCUUCUACUAAAAGUUUUUCAAAGCAACAUGGUGGCAAGGAGGAAAUGGGAAGUGUCUGUAUCGGAGCAAAAGGUGCUUAAAAUAUGGGCGAAAAGCCUAGAUGAACUAAACUAUCUGCUGACAGAUUCAUAUCAUAGCUCUGGCUGUAAAGACCCUCACAAUGAAGUAGAUGUUUUCCAGAGCGCCACCCCCCCAUGCCCAGACUUCUCCAGCUAACCCUGCAAGCUUCCAGGAGCUUCAUCUGGCCACGGAAAUGUGAUUCAUUGCCAGUACAGAGGGCUGCCUGUUACCUGACUGUCUUUACAAGAUGCCUCUGGAGUGCCCUUGUGAUGCCCUGAUGUCUGGAGCUGCUACUGCCAUCUUGUGGCCACCAGCGAGACGUUCCCAACACCCCGAGGAUUACUGAGCGCAUAAAUGCAAAGUGUGUCUUUGAUGGCAUCACUGAGUCACUACACUUAACUCUGGACCUCUUAAAUGGAAAAUGCACACCCCAGGACUUCCCUGGUGGUCCAGUGGCUAAGACUCUGCACUCCCAAUGCAGGGGGACCGCUUUCAAUCUCAGGUCAGGGAACUAGAUCCCACAUGCUACAACUAAGUUUGAAUGCUGCAACUGAAGAUUCUGCGUGCCUUGUCAAAAGACCAAAGAUCCUUGUGAGCGGCAACCAAGUUAAGACCCAGCACAGCCAAAUAAAUAAAUAUUUUUAAACACACACACACAUCCCUAAAGUCUCAGGCAGUUUAAUGGGGAUCCCCGUAAC
Dama dama (fallow deer) is the source of this 894-nucleotide long non-coding RNA. RefSeq lists it as uncharacterized. The record is from RefSeq and is a predicted model, not a curated record. The transcript is spliced from 4 exons. Lineage: Eukaryota; Metazoa; Chordata; Mammalia; Artiodactyla; Cervidae.